Molecule: long non-coding RNA, 82 nt
Organism: Maniola jurtina (meadow brown)
Lineage: Eukaryota; Metazoa; Arthropoda; Insecta; Lepidoptera; Nymphalidae
Exons: 3
Source: RefSeq, a predicted model, not a curated record
AAUAGGGUAGAAACUAUUGUACAUUUUCUGAUUGUCAAUCGCUGAAUUUACAAUACAAUGAUGUAGUUAGUGGUGAUAGUUA